This is a long non-coding RNA of Heterocephalus glaber (naked mole-rat), 3060 nucleotides long. NCBI's taxonomy places the organism in Eukaryota, Metazoa, Chordata, Mammalia, Rodentia, Bathyergidae. The record is from Ensembl.
CACGCACUGUGGAGUUGGUGGGUGUCAUUCAACCAGCUGAAGGCCUUAAGAAGACUGAGAUUUCCCCAGAGAAGGGCUCAGACCCGAGACGCAGCACCGCCUCUGCCCGUGGCUCCAGCCUGCUGGCCUGCCUGCCUGCUGUGCCGACCUGACCCGGCCAGGCUGCCAGCCCCCGGCGGGAAGCUAGAUCAGAAGGUAUGGGGCCGGCAGAUCCAGACGUGGUGCUGGUUCCUUAAAGCAGUGCCAAGACCACAGCCAACAGCUGUCCUGACACGAGGGCUCCCACAGGUAAGUGUCCUUAGAGAGAAGGCAGAUGGAGAACCUGGCCUCUCCUGGGCACGUGGAGAAAGGAAGCCAGGGAGUCCCCCGACUGGCGUACUACCUGUGGUCGCUGCGUUGUCUUGGAGCUGCAGAGUCCUGAGAAUUUAAGACAACCGGGGAGCCCAGAGUGUCUCUUCAACACCAAGGAAGAGCCAAGAGGCACUGUCUUGUUGGAGACAACAGCUAAAAGCCUGCAGAGCAAGGAUCCGGGGGCAGGGGCAGGGAGCAGCUGCGGCAGGGGACAGACAGACAGGCAGGCAGGCAGACGGCAGUGAUCCGCUUUCUCAACAGUUCCAGCGCAGAGUCCUGUGACCCGCUGUGCAGUGCUGGACCUGACCGAUCGCUCACAGCCCUCCUUCCUUCGGGCACGCCUUUGCACCGAGCUGCCUUCCCAGCCCACCCCUGUCAGCUGCGUAUUCUGAGACGUUGUCUCCCUAAGUCACUGAGUUGCCCAGGCUGGGCGCAAACUUAUGAUCCUCCUGCCUCAGCCUCCCAGAGCACGGUGAAAAUAGGCCUGGCUGGAAAGUAUCCUCUACAUGCAUCAUCUUCACUGUCCUCUCAGCAGCCCUAGAUCAGGACUGCUUCGUCAUCUUGUAUUCCAGAUGGGGAGACGAGGCACAGAGAUGAGUUCCCGAGGCAGGGAGCCAGCCGACUCGAGCCCCACACUGGGGUCACAGAGCAUGCUGGUCGGCGCCAAGCUCCUGUCGGGCCGAGGGGCAGUGUGGAGAGCAGCUCUAGGGUCAGCUCCCCUGGCUCACAGGGCCGGGGCGCCCCGGGGGAUCCUGGCUACUCCUCCCCAGAGGAGAAGGCUGGGCAGGGGGCCUCUGCUCUCUACAGCGAGAUCCGGAGGAGUCCGGACAGAGGGGAGCGUUCUCUCAGUCUGGUGUUGGGCCCCAACUUCAAAGCCCAGGGGUCAUGGAAAGCGCAGGGAAGGCCGUGCUGCUGAGAAGGCCCUGCGGGCUCUGGGGUCAGGGAGAAGGCAGCCAGCCCGUCUGCAGCUCCCUUGCUCUCAGGUGUAAAGUGCACGGAACUCCCUGGCUCUGCACUGGUGGGCUGGAGCGCUCACACACGGCAAAUCCUCAGCCCAGUGCCUGGCACACGGCCUGUUCUCAGGCCCCAUGGGAAUCUCGCUUCUAGGGCUCUGCUAAUAUCAGUCUGGGGAUUCUGCCUCUUAGGCCAAAGUCUCCUCUGAAUUCUUUACUCCCUUGUUUCGGAUGACAAGAUCCAGGACUUCUUUUAGUACCUGUGGUUCUCGAAGUCCCAGGGCCCUUUUCCACAUCUCACUUUGGGCUUGGUGCCGUGGCCAACAUGGCCAGGGCUCUGGUGCUCACCUCUUCCUCUCCAGGGCUGCAGAAAUAGGGCCCCUGCGCCCUUUGGCCUGCAGGGCUCCUGGGCCAGGCUGCCCCUGCUAGAGGUCAGGCCCGCUGGCUUCCCUAGGCUCUGCACCGAUCGCCCAAGUCCACUGCCUCUGGCGGGCCUGCCGGGCGCAGCCCCCAGAACCCAGCCCCUGCUGCCUCCCUGAGAAUCCUGCCAGAGCUCUCUACUGCGACACCAGGACCUGAUGACAGCAGCAAGUUGGGUUCCUUUUUGUAGCAAAUGACAAGAGAUCCAGCUGAAACAAACAUAAACCACUCUGUGAUAGAAAAGUCAGGGCGCAGCAGGAUGUGAAAUCGCCAACCAAAUUAUCAAGUCUGUGCCCGUCUUUGCCCUCUGGUGGCUUCAUUUGGCCAGAGCUCCCCAGUCAGGCGGCAGAGGCAGCUCACCUGUGGCUGCCUGCGGUUCCUCUCGGGCAUUGCUCCUCCCACAUGCUUGCCCUUCGAAGCAAGGUGGUGACUUCGAAGAUUUCUCUACCAGUGGUAGAAUACCUCUGCCUUCUCUCUGAGGUUGGGUGUAGCUAGUGAUGCAUUUCAUUGAAGGAACAUGGUUGUGAACCACAGGACAUCAGUUCUGAGCCUUGGUCUUAAGAUCUCCAUUUGCCCUUCUCCACUGCUGGUGGGAAUGCAGACUGGUGCAACCACCGUGGAAAUCAGUAUGGAGAUACCUCAAAGAACUAGGACUGGAGGUCCCGUUUGACCCAGCUACUCCCCUGCUGGGGAUCUUCCCCAAAGAAUUAAAAGAAUCAUACCACAGUGAUAUAUGUGCACCCAUGUUCACAGUGGCACAGUUUGUGAUAGCUAAAGCUUGGAAGCAACCCAAAUGCCCAUCAACUGGAGACUGGAUCAAGAAAAUGUGUUUUUUUUUUAAUAAAAUGGAGUACUACUCAGACAUAAAGAACAAGAAACUAGAGACAUUUAUGGCCAAAUGGAUGCACACUGAGGCCAUACUCUUAAGUGAAAUAAAUAGGACACACAUGUGUAAAUACCAAAUAGUUUCUCUAGUGUGAGAAACUGACAGUGUAAAUAAGGAUUAAAACAUAUAAUAGAUAAUGUGAAAUAGGAAGAAAAGGUCCAAAGGGGUAGGGGUGGUGGGAGGGGAAGGGGAAAGGGAAGAAGGGAAAGGAAAAAUUAUGAGAAAAGAAAAAAAAUGGAAACAAAGUCUAUGUAAAUAGGGAAGGGUGGAGGGGGUGAAGGGCGAACAGGUAAUGGGGAAGAAAUAAGAACCAAGAUACGUCGUGUACAGGUGCAAGCACCCAAUGAGAAAUGUAAAUGAAUUGUAUACCUAAAGUGUACCAAUAAAAGAAUCUAAGAAAACAAAAGAUCUCCAUUUGCUUUUCCCACGCUUCUGGAAUCACCGUGAGCG